GUGGGGAAUCUUGCGCAAUGGGCGAAAGCCUGACGCAGCCAUGCCGCGUGAAUGAUGAAGGUCUUAGGAUUGUAAAAUUCUUUCACCGGGGACGAUAAUGACGGUACCCGGAGAAGAAGCUCCGGCUAACUUCGUGCCAGCAGCCGCGGUAAUACGAAGGGGGCUAGCGUUGCUCGGAAUUACUGGGCGUAAAGGGCGCGUAGGCGGACAGCUUAGUCAGAGGUGAAAGCCCAGGGCUCAACCUUGGAAUUGCCUUUGAUACUGGCUGUCUUGAGUUUGGGAGAGGUGAGUGGAACGCCGAGUGUAGAGGUGAAAUUCGUAGAUAUUCGGAAGAACACCAGUGGCGAAGGCGACUCACUGGCCCAAUACUGACGCUGAGGCGCGAAAGCGUGGGGAGCAAACAGGAUUAGAAACCCCGGUAGUCC
RNAcentral lists this ribosomal RNA (425 nucleotides) under uncultured bacterium. RNAcentral's name for it is "partial 16S ribosomal RNA". It matches the Rfam family "Bacterial small subunit ribosomal RNA", at positions 354 to 796 of the family's 1533-position model. The record is from RNAcentral.